AGAGUAGGCAGGGUGGUCGCUCGUCCUCUCCUGCAAAGCGAGGGGAUAAGAGGAAAGUCCGAGCUCCAGAGGGCAAGGUGGUCCGUAACGCGGACUGGGGGUGACCCCAAGGAAAGUGCCACAGAAAAUAUACCGUCCGCCUCUGGCGUGAUAAGGGUGAAAAGGCGAGGUAAGAGCUCACCG
RNAcentral lists this RNase P RNA (183 nucleotides) under Deltaproteobacteria bacterium. RNAcentral's name for it is "partial RNase P RNA component class A". It matches the Rfam family "Bacterial RNase P class A", at positions 1 to 180 of the family's 367-position model. From Rfam's summary of the family: Ribonuclease P (RNase P) is a ubiquitous endoribonuclease, found in archaea, bacteria and eukarya as well as chloroplasts and mitochondria. Its best characterised activity is the generation of mature 5'-ends of tRNAs by cleaving the 5'-leader elements of precursor-tRNAs. Lineage: Bacteria; Pseudomonadati; Myxococcota; Myxococcia. The record is from RNAcentral.